This 400-nucleotide ribosomal RNA is filed under the name uncultured Geobacteraceae bacterium. Its description in RNAcentral is "partial 16S ribosomal RNA". It matches the Rfam family "Bacterial small subunit ribosomal RNA", at positions 150 to 527 of the family's 1533-position model. Lineage: Bacteria; Pseudomonadati; Thermodesulfobacteriota; Desulfuromonadia; Geobacterales; Geobacteraceae. The record is from RNAcentral.
CUCGAAAGGGGUGCUAAUACCGGAUAAGCCCACGGGAUCCUCGGAUUYUGCGGGAAAAGGUGGCCUCUAUUUAUAAGCUACCGUAUCAGGAUGGGUCCGCGUACCAUUAGCUAGUUGGUGGGGUAAUGGCCUACCAAGGCGACGAUGGUUAGCUGGUYUGAGAGGAUGAUCAGCCACACYGGAACUGAGACACGGUCCAGACUCCUACGGGAGGCAGCAGUGGGGAAUUUUGCGCAAUGGGGGAAACCCYGACGCAGCAACGCCGCGUGAGUGAUGAAGGCUUUCGGGUCGUAAAGCUCUGUCAGAGGGGAAGAAAUGAGACUGGMUAAUAUCCAGUUUUCUUGACGGUACCCUCAWAKGAAGCACCGGCUAACUCCGUGCCAGCAGCCSCGGUAAUWCA